Molecule: long non-coding RNA, 2046 nt
Organism: Acinonyx jubatus (cheetah)
Lineage: Eukaryota; Metazoa; Chordata; Mammalia; Carnivora; Felidae
Exons: 2
Source: RefSeq, a predicted model, not a curated record
CUUGUAGCUUUCGGGCACUGAGUCCAUGGCGAUGGGGCUGGGGUGGCCUCAAGCAAAGCAGACUGCUCCAGAGCGGCCUAGCAUUGCCCUUUGUCCUUGGGCCUCGCUCCAAGGCAUCGGGGACGGGAGUGCGGAGGUCAGGACCUUUGGGGAGAUGCGGGCCCGGCGGGCACAGGUGCUGUGCGGUCACUCCAGGAGUUUGUUCCGCCGGAAUCUAUGGUGACCCUCCUGUGUCCUGUCCUUCAUGACCCUGAUCUGGCUGCUCCUGCCCUGGAGGCCCCGUUCUGCCUGUUCCCCUUUGCCGCCCCCACCUCCCCCCUGCCUCCUUCCCUCCCCUCCUCAUGAGGUGAUGGCCAGACCUCUCGAAGGCCUCCCCAGCUCAGCCACAAAAAGCCCAAGAACUAGGACGCCUGCCUGCCGUCCUCCAGAUCAAGGGCACCUUUGUGCCCGGCAGCCUGGCCGCAGCCCCGCUCCACCGUGGGCCUGCCCUGCCCCCACUGGGAGGAGGAUUUGCAAGAACGUGUGUUCCUUGGGCCCCCCGCCCCGGGAGUGCUUGGGAGGAAAGGACCGGCAGCUCCCCCCGCCCGCAGGGUGCUCCGGUACCAGCCACGGUCUGGACAUGAGCACAAGGAACCAGCUCUUCUGCUUUGCCUUUAGUCUUUCCUUGUGUUGAAGAGUCAGACUGGCAAUAAAAUGCACUUGGACUGUCGUCACUGCCCUACCAUGAGGGGCCGCGCCUGGGCUGUCAUUUCUCCAGGGCCGGGACGUGCACCGCAGGGCAGGGACCCACUUAGUUGCUGCAGGCCACCGGCAUUGGUGGAACAAAGACCAUGCAGGUCAGGGCAGAGAAAGAUCAACUUGGGUGGCUUCCACCGCAUGUGGCCUCAGAGGAGAGUCUCACUCCCUGUGCCCGGGGUUUCCCAGAGCAUGAAGUGGGGCCCUGUCCCCCUCCGGACCAGUAUGCGGUGUGGGUGGGGUGAAGUGCUUUGAAAACUUCAUAAACAGGGCGAUGGAACCGGGGCCUGGUUCUCGUUUCUAAGGGAAACCAGCUUCAGGAAAGACUUUCAAGCAGACGACUGGCUCCACCACAUGCAACCAGUGAAAACUGGCACGAGUCCACUUACUCGAGACACAGAAAGGUUAGCUGGUUCUGAAAGCAUGUCCUCAGUGAGCAAAUCUUUUAACUGGAGACCCCAAACAAGAAGCCCCGCAUCUGAUCUCAUCACGCCCCCUACCACCGGGCCUGCCUCCCUGACGACCUCACAAGCACGGGGGGCCCGGAGAAGGGAGCCAGUGUCCUCACCAAGUGUGGCUGUAAGCUCUCUGCCACAAAUUCUCAAACGAGCACACGGAUUUCUCCAGAAAGGCUUUCCUCCUCGUCCCGGGAAAGCCCCAGCGGUGCCUCGGGCGCAUCCUCCCCGUGCAGUGAUGUGCAGGGAAUGGCAUCCCGUAGGAGGGCUUCACGGGGCUGUUCUCCGUGCUCGCCUUCCGACCAGUGCAACGAGGAAGGUCCUUCCCAGAUGCCCAGGCCCUGGCACACGGUCCAACCCAGGGGGUACAGAGGGAACCGGCAGGGUCUCUCCAGCCUCGAGAGGGGAGCAGCAAGUAAGUCUGGGGUGGUGGGAGGGGUCCUCUUCUCCAGGACGAAAUGUCACCCACUCAGUUCGAUCACUUAUUUGCAACAAGCCAAGAAUGUCCGUCACUUCCCUCGGCGAUGCAGUCUGUGCCGGCGACCGUGCGGUCAGGGCCAGGGCGAGACCAAGGCCAGAGGGCAACCACGGCCGCAGUGUAGCCACACUGUGACACAGGAGCAGUGUACUACCUUUUCGUGAACACGAGUGAAGGGCAGGAGGUGGGAAACAAGAGAGCCUUUUAUCCUGUCCGUGCCAGGGACCUUGGUCAAGGCAGACGCUUCAAGGAUGGUGGGUGGCUUUUUAACUUCGACGCACAAGGCAGCUUCGCGGUCGGAAUUCUGAUCAGUGAUACUCUAGAACCACACAUAUCAUGAACAUCCCGGGAUAAAUAAAGGACAGAACUCGUUGUUAA